AGCUUUGCGAGGUGGUAGUAUCGUAGCCAGUGAGGUUUAUCUGAGGCACUAUUAUUGCUGAUUGAG
This 66-nucleotide small nuclear RNA is filed under the name Heterocephalus glaber (naked mole-rat). Its description in RNAcentral is "U4 spliceosomal RNA". It matches the Rfam family "U4 spliceosomal RNA", at positions 1 to 66 of the family's 138-position model. From Rfam's summary of the family: U4 small nuclear RNA (U4 snRNA) is a component of the major U2-dependent spliceosome. The structure of U4 snRNA from yeast and human has been reported. U4 snRNA presents a k-turn RNA motif in the 5p-SL related to recognition of Snu13 protein. Lineage: Eukaryota; Metazoa; Chordata; Mammalia; Rodentia; Bathyergidae. The record is from Rfam by way of RNAcentral.